RNAcentral lists this transfer RNA (76 nucleotides) under Candidatus Uhrbacteria bacterium RIFCSPHIGHO2_01_FULL_47_10. Its description in RNAcentral is "tRNA-Pro". It matches the Rfam family "tRNA". From Rfam's summary of the family: Transfer RNA (tRNA) molecules are approximately 80 nucleotides in length. The record is from RNAcentral. Lineage: Bacteria; Candidatus Uhriibacteriota. RNAcentral also lists the same sequence under 6 other names.
CGGGGCGUAGCGCAGAUGGUAGCGCGUCUGGUUUGGGACCAGAAGGCCGCAGGUUCGAAUCCUGUCGCCCCGACCA